AGUUAACGUUGGCGGCGUGCCUAACACAUGCAAGUCGAACGCGUCCUAAGGGCAACUUUAGGAUGAGUGGCGAACGGGUGAGUAUCACGUGGGUAAUCUUCCUUUAAGUGGGGAAUAAGCUCUCGAAAGGGAGUCUAAUACCGCAUGACAUUCCGGGACACAAGUCCCGUAAUCAAAGCCGCAAGGCGCUUGAAGAUGAGCCUGCGUCCUAUUAGCUGGCUGGUGGGGUAACGGCCCACCAGGGCAACGAUGGCUAGGGGGUCUGAGAGGAUGGUCCCCCAACUGGUACUGAGACACGGACCAGACUCCUACGGGAGGCAGCAGUGAGGAAUAUUGGUCAAUGGGCGAAGCCUGAACCAGCCAUGCCGCGUGCGGGAUGAAGGCCCCUAAGGGUUGUAAACCGCUUUUCCCCGGGAAGAAUAAGCCCCCCGCGGGGGUGAGUGCCGGUACCGGGGAAUAAGGAUCGGCUAACUCCGUG
Molecule: ribosomal RNA, 478 nt
Filed under: uncultured bacterium
Lineage: Bacteria
Description: bacterial SSU rRNA
Rfam family: Bacterial small subunit ribosomal RNA
Source: RNAcentral